Molecule: long non-coding RNA, 4394 nt
Filed under: Olea europaea subsp. europaea
Lineage: Eukaryota; Viridiplantae; Streptophyta; Magnoliopsida; Lamiales; Oleaceae
Source: RNAcentral
UAAAUACUUCAUGCAUACACAACAUUUAGCACUUCAUGCCUGCAUUCAUUAACUACCUCUAGCAUUAACCACUACAAAGGUGGCGCCCCCUUUUUCUUAUGGCCAAAAGAAUAUUGAAAGUUAAAUUGCUAUCCUAAAAAAAAAAAAUUUUAAACGAACAUAAAAUUUCGAAGUAUUACACACCGUAUCAAGUUAAGCAUCCAGACCAAGCCAAAAAGCCUUUCUAUCAAGAAUCAGUCUAUCCAAAUAAGUUGAACCCCUCAACAUUUGUUGCUAAGUCUAAAGUGUCUAAAACUACCACUGAGUAUGAGUCUAGGUUGAAAAAGUGGCAUAUGAGACUUGGACAUCCCACGACCUCUGUGAUGUCACAAGUACUUAAAUCUUGUAAUGAAAAAUCCGAUGCUAAUGAAAUCAUUCAGUUUUGUAAUGCUUGGCAACUUGGUAAAUCACCCUCUUUGCCAUUCAAAUUAUAUGUUUUAGGUGCAUCAGCCCCUCUUGAUUUAAUUCACACAGAUGUUUGGGUCCUGCACCUAUAAAUUCUACUUCUGGUUUCAAAUAUUACAUUCUCUUCCUUGAUGACUAUAGUAGGUAUACAUGGAUCUAUCCCAUGAGAAAUAAAUCUGAAGCAUUAAACCUGUUCAUUCAAUUCAAAAACCUUGUUGAAAAUAAGUUUGAUAGGAAAAUCAAAGUACUCCAGUCUGAUUUGGGAGGUGAAUUUAGAGCAUUUACUGAUUUAGCUCUAAAGUCUAGUAUUGAUAUGCGUUUCUCUUGUCCUCACACCUCAGCCAAAAAUGGUAGAGCUGAGAGAAAACACAGACACAUAACAGAAAUCGGCUUAGCUCUUCUUGCUCAAGCAAGUAUGCCUUUACAUUAUAGGUGGGAAUCCUUUCACACAGCGACUUACCUUAUCAACAAACUACCUACACCUGUUCUGAAAAUGAAAGCACCUUCUCAAAUUCUAAACAAUGAACAGAUUAAAUACAAGUCACUCAAAAUCUUUGGUUGUGCUUGCUUUCCUUGUCUCAGACCAUAUCAAGAACAUAAGUUCAGUUUUCAUUCCACAAAGUGUGUGUUCCUUGGCUUCAACAACUCUCAUAAAGGCUACAAAUGUCUCAGUCCAAUAGGAAGUGUAUAUAUAUCUAGGCAUGUAGUCUUCAAUGAAAAUGAGUUUCCUUUCUAGUCCGGUUUUCUCAAUAAAAGAAACGAUUCCCAGAAUUUUGAAACUAUUAUUCAUUAUUUGCCUUUCCACACUCCUCCAAAUAGUAACCCAACUUGCUCAGCUGAUGAAGCUCAUUUUGAUGCAACUCCAACAACAACACCUUGAGUUUGAUAAACCAAGAAUGGCUGAAAACUUGAUAUUUGAGGAAAAUGAGAAUGAAAACACAGUGACAAAUAUUGAAGGCACCCAAACUGAAAGUCAAGAAGGUCCUGCAAAUACUCAGAUAUAGCAAACUGAAGCAAGUGAUGAACUAAGUUUAAGUGAGGCAGAACAGGAAAUCAGAUUGUAAAUCAUCCUAUGAUUACCAGAAGUAAAGCUGCUAUAUUCAAACCAAAAGUCUACUCAACUCAAUGCGAACAAUACAGCAAUGAACAAAGCGGACUAGAACAUAACAAUGUGGCUGAGGCUCUUACAAAUAAAGAUUGGAGAGAAGCAAUGGAGGAUGAAUACAAGGCAUUGAUGAGAAAUAAAACGUGGAAAUUAGUACCACCUCUAAUCAAUCAAAAGGUGAUAGGAAACAAAUGAGUUUUUAGACUUAAACAAGAUGUUGAUGGAAGGAUAUUGAAGCACAAAGCAAGACUUGUUGCUAAAGGGUUCUUGCAGACAUCAGGAGUUGAUUACCAUGAAACUUUCAGCCCAGUUAUAAAGACUUCCACUUUGAGGAUAAUUCUUGUUCUUGCAACCUCAAAAGGCUGGAGUAUCAGACAAGUUGACAUUAACAAUACAUUCUUGAAUGGGAAACUAGAUGAAGAAGUUUAUAUGCGACAACCAGAAGGUUUUGUUGACAAAGCAAAUCCCACCUUUGUUUGCAAACUAAAAAGGGCACUUUAUGGACUCAAUUAAACACCUACAACAUGGUAUGAAAAACUGAAAAAGACUCUUCUGGAUUGGAAGUUUUCAAAAUCAAAGGCAGAUAGUUCCCUAUUCUUUUACAUGAAUCAGAAACAAGUAAUCUUUGCCUUGGUAUAUGUUGAUGAUAUAGUAAUUACAGGCAGUGAUCAGAAGAUGUUGCAGGACUUUAUUGAUAAGUUGAAUGCACGGUUUGCACUGAAAGAUAUGGGUGAGCUACAUCAUUUUUUGGGAAUUGAGGUAAGAAGAGGUGAAUCAGGUAUGCAUCUCACUGAGAUCAAGUAUACAAAGGACCUGUUGAAAAGGUUCAAUUUUGAGCAUCUUAAACCUUAUGCAACGCCUAUGAUAGUAGGCAAGAAUAUCUCAGAAGUGAAGGUGAAAAGAUGGCAGACCCUUCUCUGUACAUAAAUGCAAUUGGUGGACUACAAUACUUAGCACACACACGACCUGAUAUAACCUUUGCUGUGAACAAGAUGAGUCAAUUUUUGCAAACACCUUCAGAUGUCCAUUGGAAAGCAGUCAAAAGAAUCUUUAGAUAUCUGAAAGGGACUAUUGAGCAUGGAUUAUGGAUUCAAAGGAGUUACAAAAUGAGCAUCACUGAUUUUGCUGAUGCAGAUUGGGCAUCAUGCCCUGAUGAUAGAAGGUCAACAGCCGGCUAUUGUGUGUACUUGGGAGAUACAUUGGUGGCUUGGUCUUCGAAGAAACAACACGUUGUGGCUAGGUCGAGUACUGAAUCAGAGUAUAGAGCCUUAGCACAUGCAGUUGCCGAGAUAACUUGGAUUGAAUCACCGCUUAUAGAAAUCAAGUUACAUUUAUCUUUACCUCCUGUGCUUUGGUGUGAUAAUCUUAGUGCAAGUGCUUUAGCUUCAAAUCUAGUUUACCAUACCAUACCCGAACUAAGCAUAUUGAGUUGGAUAUACAUUUUGUUAGGGACAAGGUUCUUGAAGGAAAAAUGAAAAUUUGAUAUGUUCCAUCAUCAGAUCAAAUUGCAGACUUGCUAACCAAGCCCCUUUCACAAACCAGAUUUCUCUUUCUUAAGGACAAGCUUGGAGUUAAAGAAUAAACUCCAACUUGAGGGAGGAUGUUAAAGUGUAUUAUCACACACCUCAGCAGCUCACAUGUUGAAUGGGAGAAGUGACCAGUGCUAAUGUGCACCUGUGGUGCUAUGUUAGUUAGUUACAACUGUAUCUUAUUCUUAGGUGUAUAGCACAUGUAAUUUGAUUCUUUUUUUCUUUUCUUUUUUUAACUUGCUCACCACUUCAAAAGUGGCUUUAUAUACUGUAUCAUAUUCGGUGUAUAUCAUUAAGUAAAAUACAAUUUUAUCACACAUUCAACUCCCUACUUCUACAUCAAUUUCACCUCUGCAAUAUUAUCAAAUUUAAACUGCCCCCAACAAGCUAAUUUUUGUUGCAAGAGUUCUGUACAGGAGUUAUUGAAAUGUUACUUGACAUUCUGCACAUUGUUCUAGCAUUUGUAAUUUGUGAUGGCUGGAUGGGAUUAGAUAUUGGACAUGAAACUAUAAAUUUGUUUGAGGAAGCUCUAGAAGCUAUGAAAAGUCAUCUGGAAUGGACCUACGGGUGUUUCUGAAUAUGAAAAGUUUUUCACAGGAACAGAGGUAUAGUAGAUAAUAAGAUAAUUCAUAAUUGUAAUAAAUUGUAUUUUAUGUCGUGUUUUACCUGGAUAUUUGAAAUCAAAUGCAUGAAUUGUUUAUUCUUUUCCAGGAUAUAACUAAGGAAUUGGCAGAGCUUAGUGGCAAAGAAGUGACAACAAAUAUUGGAGACGGUGACUCUGUUUCUGCUGUUGAAAAGGUUGGUUGGCUGACUAGAUAAGCCAUAUCUCGACUGGAGGUGGUGCAAGCUUGGAGCUUCUUGAGGAGAAACCUUUACCUGGUGUUCUUUCCCUUAUUCAGGCUUAAGUAAUGUUCUCUUUGUUGUGACUGGUUUCCAACCAGACUAGCUGAAUAAGCCGGACCUAGGGAAUGAUCCUGUACAUGCAGGGAAGAUAAACCGUGAGCAUGGUUCACUUAUGGUAAAAAUGAAAGUGGUUAUUGCAUUUAAGCAAGAACUACUUUAGCGUAUUGAUAUGAUAACACUUGCACAGGAAGAGAAUGAUGCAGAAUUGAAAUUGGUGGGUCCUCAAUUAUUCUCUUUCGAGGCAUGUAUCCUUCUUUUCUUUUUAUAGAGUGUCAUACCGCUUCUACUUUUGACAGGAACCUACUCAUUUAUAUUAUUUCAUUAUUCUUUGCAAACUUCAGACGGCUUCAAUAAUGCCUUGCACAUUUUUUAAAAAUAAUUGGAUCCUAAAUCUUGAUUUUCCUUUAUCUACA